This 22-nucleotide microRNA is filed under the name Manduca sexta (tobacco hornworm). RNAcentral describes it as "mse-miR-6097". The record is from miRBase by way of RNAcentral. Lineage: Eukaryota; Metazoa; Arthropoda; Insecta; Lepidoptera; Sphingidae.
GUGUACGGGGUCGGUAUUGCGG